GCCUUCUGGGUUGUAAACUUCUUUUAUAGGGGAAAAAAAGUGGGGAUUUCGAAUGAUACUGACGGUACCAGACGAAUAAACACCGGCUAACUCCAUGCCAUCACCCGCGGUAAUACAGAAGGUGCGAGCGUUAUCCGGAUUCAAUGGGUUUAAAGGGUGCGUAGGCGGAUUGGUAAGUCAAUGCUGAAAUCACCGAGCUAAACUCAAAAACUGCCAUUGAUACUAUCUGUCUUGAAUAACGUUGAGGUAGGCGGAAUAUAUCAUGUAUCGGUGAAAUGCUUACAUAUGACAUAGAACACCCAUUGCGAAGGCAGCUUACUACCCGAUGAUUGACUCUGAGGCACGAAAGCGUGGGGAUCAAACAGGAUUAAAUACCCUGGUAGUCCACGCCCUAAACGAUGAUUACUCACACAUAUGCUAUACACAGUGUGUGUCUGAGCGAAAGCAUUAAGUAAUCCACCUGGGAAGUA
RNAcentral lists this ribosomal RNA (470 nucleotides) under uncultured Sphingobacteriales bacterium. RNAcentral's name for it is "bacterial SSU rRNA". It matches the Rfam family "Bacterial small subunit ribosomal RNA", at positions 414 to 882 of the family's 1533-position model. Lineage: Bacteria; Pseudomonadati; Bacteroidota; Sphingobacteriia; Sphingobacteriales. The record is from RNAcentral.